RNAcentral lists this ribosomal RNA (492 nucleotides) under uncultured bacterium. RNAcentral's name for it is "partial 16S ribosomal RNA". It matches the Rfam family "Bacterial small subunit ribosomal RNA", at positions 30 to 507 of the family's 1533-position model. The record is from RNAcentral.
AGUGAACGCUGGCGGUAGGCCUGACACAUGCAAGUCGAACGGCAGCACAGUAAGAGCUUGCUCUUACGGGUGGCGAGUGGCGGACGGGUGAGGAAUACAUCGGAAUCUACUUUUUCGUGGGGGAUAACGUAGGGAAACUUACGCUAAUACCGCAUACGACCUACGGGUGAAAGCAGGGGAUCUUCGGACCUUGCGCGAUUGAAUGAGCCGAUGUCGGAUUAGCUAGUUGGCGGGGUAAAGGCCCACCAAGGCGACGAUCCGUAGCUGGUCUGAGAGGGUGGUAGCCCACACGGGAAGUGAGACACGACCCAGACCACUAGGGGAGGGCGCAGUGGGGAAUGGUGGAAAAUGGGGGAAAGCAUGACCGAGCAAUGCGGGGUGGGAGAAGAAGGCGUUCGGUUUGUAAGGCCGUUUUGUGGGGAAAAAAAAGCAGCAGUUGAAGACCCGGCUGUAGUGACGGUACCCAAAAAAUAAGCACCGGCUAACUACGUG